RNAcentral lists this ribosomal RNA (497 nucleotides) under uncultured bacterium. Its description in RNAcentral is "partial 16S ribosomal RNA". It matches the Rfam family "Bacterial small subunit ribosomal RNA", at positions 28 to 507 of the family's 1533-position model. The record is from RNAcentral.
GAUGAACGCUGGCGGCGUGCCUAAUACAUGCAAGUCGAGCGAACAGAUGGGGAGCUUGCUCCUCUGACGUUAGCGGCGGACGGGUGAGUAACACGUGGAUAACCUACCUAUAAGACUGGGAUAACUUCGGGAAACCGGAGCUAAUACCGGAUAAUAUAUUGAACCGCAUGGUUCAAUAGUGAAAGACGGUUUUGCUGUCACUUAUAGAUGGAUCCGCGCCGCAUUAGCUAGUUGGUAAGGUAACGGCUUACCAAGGCGACGAUGCGUAGCCGACCUGAGAGGGUGAUCGGCCACACUGGAACUGAGACACGGUCCAGACUCCUACGGGAGGCAGCAGUAGGGAAUCUUCCGCAAUGGGCGAAAGCUUGACGGAGCAACGCCGCGUGAGUGAUGAAGGUCUUCGGAUCGUAAAACUCUGUUAUUAGGGAAGAACAAAUGUGUAAGUAACUAUGCACGUCUUGACGGUACCUAAUCAGAAAGCCACGGCUAACUACGUG